This 251-nucleotide ribosomal RNA is filed under the name uncultured prokaryote. RNAcentral describes it as "partial 16S rRNA". It matches the Rfam family "Bacterial small subunit ribosomal RNA", at positions 525 to 775 of the family's 1533-position model. The record is from RNAcentral.
ACGUAGGGUGCGAGCGUUAAUCGGAAUUACUGGGCGUAAAGCGUGCGCAGGUGGUUGUGUAAGUCAGAUGUGAAAUCCCCGGGCUCAACCUGGGAACUGCAUUUGAGACUGCACGGCUAGAGGAUGGCAGAGGGGGGUAGAAUUCCACGUGUAGCAGUGAAAUGCGUAUAGAUGUGGAGGAAUACCGAUGGCGAAGGCAGCCCCCUGGGCUAUUUCUGACACUCAUGCACGAAAGCGUGGGGAGCAAACAG